This 1322-nucleotide ribosomal RNA is filed under the name unidentified marine bacterioplankton. Its description in RNAcentral is "bacterial SSU rRNA". It matches the Rfam family "Bacterial small subunit ribosomal RNA", at positions 1 to 1375 of the family's 1533-position model. The record is from RNAcentral.
UUAGAGUUUGAUCAUGGCUCAGAACGUACGCUGGCGGCACGCCUAACACAUGCAAGUCGAACGAAGUAGCAAUACUUAGUGGCAGACGGGUGAGUAACAUGUAGGUAUCUGCCCUUUGGCCUGGAAUAACACGAGGAAACUUGUGCUAAUACCGGAUAAGUCUUUACGGAGAAAGCUUUAUGCACCAUUGGAUGAGCCUGCACUUGACUAGUUUGUUGGUGGGGUAAUGGCCUACCAAGACUGUGAUCAAUAGCUGAUUUGAGAGGAUGAUCAGCCACAUUGGGACUGAGACACGGCCCAAACUCCUACGGGAGGCAGCAGUGGGGAAUCUUGCACAAUGGAGGAAACUCUGAUGCAGCGAUGCCGCGUGAGUGAAGAAGGCCCUUGGGUUGUAAAGCUCUUUCGUCGGGGAAGAAAAUGACUGUACCCGAAUAAGAAGGUCCGGCUAACUUCGUGCCAGCAGCCGCGGUAAUACGAAGGGACCUAGCGUAGUUCGGAAUUACUGGGCUUAAAGAGUUCGUAGGUGGUUGAAAAAGUUGGUGGUGAAAUCCCAGUGCUUAACUCUGGAACUGCCAUCAAAACUUUUCAGCUAGAGUAUGAUAGAGGAAAGCAGAAUUUCUAGUGUAGAGGUGAAAUUCGUAGAUAUUAGAAAGAAUACCAAUUGCGAAGGCAGCUUUCUGGAUCAUUACUGACACUGAGGAACGAAAGCAUGGGUAGCGAAGAGGAUUAGAUACCCUCGUAGUCCAUGCCGUAAACGAUGUGUGUUAGACGUUGGAAAUUUAUUUUCAGUGUCGCAGCGAAAGCGAUAAACACACCGCCUGGGGAGUACGACCGCAAGGUUAAAACUCAAAUGAAUUGACGGGGACCCGCACAAGUAGUGGAGCAUGUGGUUUAAUUCGAAGAUACGCGCAGAACCUUACCAACACUUGACAUGUUCGUCGCGACUUUAAGAGAUUAAAGUUUUCGGUUCGGCCGGACGAAACACAGGUGCUGCAUGGCUGUCGUCAGCUCGUGUCGUGAGAUGUUGGGUUAAGUCCCGCAACGAGCGCAACCCUCACUUUUAGUUGCCAUCAUUUAGUUGGGCACUCUGAAAGAACUGCCAGUGAUAAGCUGGAGGAAGGUGGGGAUGACGUCAAGUCCUCAUGGCCCUUACGUGUUGGGCUACACACGUGCUACAAUGGUAUCUACAACAGGAAGCAAAACUGCGAGGUUAAGCAAAUCCUUAAAAGAUACCUCAGUUCGGAUUGCACUCUGCAACUCGAGUGCAUGAAGCUGGAAUUACUAGUAAUCGUGGAUCAGCGUGCCACGGUGAAUGCGUUCCC